GGCCCGGCCGGCGCUUGCCGAACGCAAAUCAAUCUUUUCCAGGUUGACCUCGGAUCAGGUAGGGAUACCCGCUGAACUUAAGCAUAUCAAUAAGCGGAGGAAAUCUAGAUGCAUCGCGAGUACCAGCGUUACCUUAUUGAGGCC
Molecule: ribosomal RNA, 144 nt
Filed under: Aspergillus flavus
Lineage: Eukaryota; Fungi; Ascomycota; Eurotiomycetes; Eurotiales; Aspergillaceae
Description: partial 28S ribosomal RNA
Source: RNAcentral